Long non-coding RNA from Rhinopithecus roxellana (golden snub-nosed monkey), 653 nucleotides. RefSeq lists it as uncharacterized. NCBI's taxonomy places the organism in Eukaryota, Metazoa, Chordata, Mammalia, Primates, Cercopithecidae. The transcript is spliced from 3 exons. The record is from RefSeq and is a predicted model, not a curated record.
UCUUAGCUCAGCUUUCUCAGCUGCUCCUACCACCACCCAGCCAAAUCAGUGAACAAAUGAAACAACCUGACUGUCUAUUUCUGUCUUUUCACCUACAGUUAAUUCUCAAUGUGGCAGCCAGUAGAAUCUGUUUUAAAAUGUGUGUCAAGUUGUACUUUUUGUUCUCAACCCUCCAGCAGCUUCCUAUCUGCGUGAAGAAUGGCAUCAAGGUCACAGGUGACAUGGCUCAUCUCUCCCCUUUCUGAUGUCUUCCCUUACUGAUUGCCUCUUUGCUGUGCCUCAGACAAGAGGAAAAAUUUUUACAAGUCACCUCGUAAUGAAGACCAGCAUCAGUUUAUAUGGUGUGAGUUAUUUUCAUUUCUCUUAGAUUGCAUCUACACUGACAGAAGAAAGUAGAAAGCAUUCCUCCCCUCUGGAGCAUGCAGUUUUCAAGGAAUCAUCUUGGAAGCAGAGACUGGACCCUCAGGAGACAACAAAACUGUCAGCACCUUGAUCUUGAACUUCCCAGCCAUCAGGACUGUGAGAAAAUAAAUUUCUGUGUUUUAUAAAUUACCCAGUAUCCAGUAUUUUGUUAUAGCAGCACAAAUAGACUAGGACAGCAUGUGAAAAAAGUGGAGGAGAAUGGCAAAAAAAAAAAAAAAAAAAAAAAAAAA